Molecule: transfer RNA, 73 nt
Filed under: Stegodyphus mimosarum
Lineage: Eukaryota; Metazoa; Arthropoda; Arachnida; Araneae; Eresidae
Rfam family: tRNA
About the family: Transfer RNA (tRNA) molecules are approximately 80 nucleotides in length. Their secondary structure includes four short double-helical elements and three loops (D, anti-codon, and T loops). Further hydrogen bonds mediate the characteristic L-shaped molecular structure. tRNAs have two regions of fundamental functional importance: the anti-codon, which is responsible for specific mRNA codon recognition, and the 3' end, to which the tRNAs corresponding amino acid is attached (by aminoacyl-tRNA synthetases). tRNAs cope with the degeneracy of the genetic code in two manners: having more than one tRNA (with a specific anti-codon) for a particular amino acid; and 'wobble' base-pairing, i.e. permitting non-standard base-pairing at the 3rd anti-codon position.
Source: Rfam by way of RNAcentral
GCCUUAGUGGUGUAGUGGUCAGCACGUUCGGCGAGUAACCGAGAGGUCCGUGGUUCGAUUCCCGACGAAGGCG